CAGCAGCCGCGGUAAUACGGAGGGUGCAAGCGUUAAUCGGAAUUACUGGGCGUAAAGCGCACGCAGGCGGUUUGUUAAGUCAGAUGUGAAAUCCCCGAGCUUAACUUGGGAACUGCAUUUGAGACUGGCAAGCUAGAGUCUUGUAGAGGGGGGUAGAAUUCCAGGUGUAGCGGUGAAAUGCGUAGAGAUCUGGAGGAAUACCGGUGGCGAAGGCGACCCCCUGGACAAAGACUGACGCUCAGGUGCGAAAGCGUGGGGAGCAAACAGGAUUAGAUACCCCUGUAGUCCCUGUCUCUUAUAA
This 301-nucleotide ribosomal RNA is filed under the name uncultured bacterium. RNAcentral's name for it is "partial 16S ribosomal RNA". It matches the Rfam family "Bacterial small subunit ribosomal RNA", at positions 509 to 809 of the family's 1533-position model. The record is from RNAcentral.